GAGUGGCGCAGCGGAAGCGUGCU
Molecule: non-coding RNA, 23 nt
Filed under: Drosophila melanogaster (fruit fly)
Lineage: Eukaryota; Metazoa; Arthropoda; Insecta; Diptera; Drosophilidae
Also listed under: 2 other names
Source: RNAcentral